UGAAUUGCUUUUAUACUUUCAAGAGUUAUAGAUGGUCCUUGUAACCAUUGGGAACAAUUUAGAAGUUCUCACCGAGGAAAGACGGAAUCUUUUUCCAUCCUUCCUCAUCAAUCCCACUUCCUUUUUCCAGACAAAAACACUGUCAAAGCUUUUUCUUUGCAUUUACAAACAUUCAUUUAUAUCAACAAAAUAUUUUCAAAGCAAUAAGGUUGUUAUAUUUUAGGUACUAAUCUGUCUUGCUUUUUUCUACUUAAGAUAUAACACAUCUUGCUCUUUGUGUGUAAAAACAUAAGACCUCGUGCUCAGCUAUUCAUUAACCUACUUAUGCAUUCAUUAUAAACGUGCUCAAUACAUUUGCUUUUAAAACUGAACAGGGGAGAAUGCUGUAAAAUGAAGAAUAAAGUUGCCUUGAUCUGCAGACACUCUUUGCUCAUCCUACACCAGAGAUAAACACUUGCCAUCAGCCCUACUUUUCACACUUUUGGUGGUUAUCAUGGCUGUAAAUUAUUGAUUUCUACAAAUAAGAUAUACUCUAUCAACUGCUCAGUAGGUUGAGAAUUCAGUGUUUUUAUUCCACCUCCUCCACACCCUCCCACAUCUUGACUUUCUGUUGUUCUGUCUAGUCAUUUCAGUGGCUACAAGAGUAACCUUCCAGAAAGUACUGAAAACUCUAUCUGGGCCUCUGGACCUUAGCACUUCUGCUCCCCUGUGUGCGCUGGGUGCCCAGCAGACACCAUGCUCUGCCUCCAGCCUUUGGGCUUCUCUCAGCUGCACUGUCCCUCACUGUCGGGGUUAUGAUAUUUACAUUCGGUUUUCAUUUCCUCUAUGCAAUGAUUUUAGCCUCCGCUGUUUGCUUCCAGGAAGUUUUUGAAGUUUCUUGUCUGCUCGUCACACGUGUCUUGUGGUUUAGCAUUGGUACAAACCAGUGCUUCUGGGGUAUCUUUGUUAUUGUCUUGAUGGGCCUUGGAGAAUAAUAAUGGUAAAGGGAUGGAACUCAUGACCUUGUGCUUGCCAGGCAGGCACUGUGCUGCUGAGCUAUAUCCCUCACCCCUUUUCUUAAUUUUAGUAAGCUAUAAAUACAAUGGUAUCGGUGAGCUGCAUUGUAUUAGAAACAAAGAUUUCAGAAGUCAGCCAAAAUUAGCAUUUAUAUGUUGUCACUGUCAGCUCAAUAUAGUUCUUCCCACUUGCCAACUUUAUCUUGCUUCUAAAUAACAAAUAACGAUUUUAAUCGCUAUAAGUAGUAUUAUGUUUUUGUUCUCUGAUAAAUUCUAUUUAUAAACUUUGAGAGUAUAUUGGUGUUUGUAAAAGACCUGAGCUGGCUUAAAUGAAAAUAUAUGUGAAGUCACAACUCUAUCAGGGAACUGAUAUUGCUUGUAUCACAAACUAUUGGUGCUCCUUGUUCUCAUGUUCUAGUCCCAAGUACAGUUAAGUUGCUCAAAGAAUUAUUAAAAGUUUCAUAGAGUGCAUCUUUUUUAUUUAAAAAAAUGUCUUAGUAAAGUCUUGUGGUUGAUUAGCUUUGUUGAACUCAACCACACUGACCUGGCAAUUUCUGCUGAUUCUCUAUUAAAGACUUCUGGGGUGUGGGCCACGGGCAUAUCAUGGUUUUACUCAUUUUUUCCAUGAGUGACUCUCUGAAGAAGCCCUUGGAAGGCCUGAGAAACUCCUUUUUAAUCAUAACCUUUACGACUUCUCUUCCCUUUCUUGGUAUGCCAAUAUUAAAUGCACCAGGGAAACUUAUUUCAAUUACACUGGAUGGCUUCCCCUUCCAGUUCAUCAAAUUAUACACACGCACUUCCGAGGAAGUUAUCCAGCGUAAUUCUUAGUUCUGGGGAGCAAGAACAGGGUGCCAAUUACUUAAGAAGUGCUCAUUAGGAAUUAGAAAGCAAAUAUAAUUACCACAUGCCAAUUGCAUAGGAAAUAAGACUGUUUUCAACAAAGCCAGGCUUAUUUUAUGUGCCCCAUAUAGCACCCACAGGAUGUGUUCUUACCUGUUUCUCCCUCCCCCAAAUACUAAAUACAUAUAGGAGGUGAAGACUUAAGUAGGAAACAUAAUAGACUGAAAACUCCUUAUUUAACAUACUCAAUUAUAUUUCUAGCACCUAGCUGGGCUUAUAGUGGAAGGUCUAAACACACCUGUGGAGUCUUUGUAUACCUACAGUAGACAGGAAGUUAACUUUAUGUAGUAUGAGCUUUUUGUGUGUGGAUGCGCUCACGCACACACACACACACACACACACACACACACAGGGCUUUAAAGGCUUGAAUAUGCCAAAAUAGUACUUAAAUUUACAAAAAUUUUAGAGUUGAAAAUUACAGAUUCACAACUUCCAUCACCCAAUUUCACAGCAGAUAAAAACACCGACCCCUUUCUUAGGUGUAUGCCCUGUCUUCAUGUGGUCAUGCUGUUCUAAUUUCUUCCAUUGUGGAAGAAAAAUAUUGGUUGUAACUGCCCUAUAGGCAAAGACCACAUCGAGCAUUCCCCUUGUGUCCGCUCCAAGCUUCUCCCAUAUUUCCUCCCCAGCCCCACCCCAAAGUUGUCUAAAAAUGGUUCACAAUCUUGGGAACAACUAUUUUCUAGAUGGCUAUAGAGAAAACAGAAAUUGUAGAUCUUUUCAAUAACCGUCAUCUGCCACGUUUGACCUGAUUUAGGUAGUGUCAACUUAGGGUUUUUGGCACUGCUAACCCUCAGAGGCAUCUUUUCCAUUUUUAUAAUUUAGUUGCAUCCUCUUAAAGUACACAUAUUAUGUAGAAAUAUAUUUGGAAAGAAGUCUGAAUUUUUGAUACAUUAGAUGGAAAAAACAAAAGCAGUUUCUCACCGCCAGCUUUUCACAUUUCUUUCCUUGUUAGUCCAUACAAACAUUCAGUAAUAAGGAAAUGAUCCAGAAAUGGCCAAACCGGAGCUCGAGUCGUAUUUGUCACCUAGCAGGGGUUUGUUUUGUUCACUCAAGGUGGAAGGAGAAAACUCAGCCCCUUUCUUCCAUGGGGGCCCUUCUCUUGGUGCUUAAUUCUCAAGCUGAGGAAAGAAGCCCAUUUAUCUUUCGAAUCACAGGGAAGCAGACAGGAAUGAAGAAGCUUUUUUAACUGCGUCUCCCAAUACCCAGCCAUGAAAAUUCAACCAACAGUCACCCGGCCUCCCAGAGCCUCUCUGAAGCAGAGCUCCGCUGGAGCUGUUUGGUUCCAAAAGAGGCCACCACCACAGCUCCAGGCACACGCAGGAGGCGACCCAGCCGCGGAAUGGAUGGAGCAGGGCCCAGGCUGGCGAGGGUCGGCCCAGCCGGCUGUCUACUGUCACAGGCACCGUGCUACGAGUGGGAGACCCUGACCUAUACAUGGUUAACACACAAAUAAACUGGAGUAUUUUGUGACUUGAUCAUAUGUAAUUCAAAUUCCAGUUUUAAUAAAGUUUUAUCAGAACACAGCCGUA
Cavia porcellus (domestic guinea pig) is the source of this 3424-nucleotide long non-coding RNA. RefSeq lists it as uncharacterized. The record is from RefSeq and is a predicted model, not a curated record. NCBI's taxonomy places the organism in Eukaryota, Metazoa, Chordata, Mammalia, Rodentia, Caviidae. The transcript has 3 exons.